Molecule: long non-coding RNA, 4503 nt
Filed under: Bemisia tabaci
Lineage: Eukaryota; Metazoa; Arthropoda; Insecta; Hemiptera; Aleyrodidae
Description: lncRNA ENSSSA2NGG010500
Source: RNAcentral
CCAUUUGAAGCUAUGGUAAAGAAUCGAUUAUUAAGGAGUUCGUUUUGAACAUCCUGAUAUCGAUCUUUUUCCAUAGGUUUUAAUGGUAGAUCAAUCGAUACAUCGCAAAAGUACGUCUCUAACCACGAGAAAGAAGGAGGCAAUCGAUGCAAAAGCUUGCAAUGUGGAGAAUGGCACCUCAAGAAACAGAUUUGAUACCCAACAAAAGCUCUACACGAAACAUAGACUUAUGUUUCUUCGCGAAGGGGCCUCACUCCAAAUAGAGUAAAGAGUAGAAACAAUGAAUAUCUUUCAUCAGCAAUUCAAUUUAACAUUUAUUUACAGGUAACGUCUUUAAAAAUCAAGUACAAUCCAUUCGCAAAAGCCUUUUAGAUGCUAAGGAAAGACCGUCGGAGAAUGCGUAUCAAAGAGAGACCAACACUUCCCAGUCUUCUCAGUAUUCACAAUGCAAAAGUAUUACAGCGAGUUCGUGGCUAGUGCCGUCGGUUCAAAGUUCUGUCCAUUCAAGUUAUGACCGAAGUUUAUCGAGUAGCAGACAUCACAGGCACUCACCGUAUCCUCCAAGAUCCAUACCAAAUUCUCAAUCCUCACAAUCAAUCGGCGGAUACCCAUGCGACCUGCCAUCGGACUCGACAUCCCCAGCGGGUCUCUGCUCAGUGGCUAGCUUCAGCUGGGGGGCCCAGAGCCCACCCCCGCUCUUCAGCUCCUCCAUCUCGCCGCCACCCCCGCUGGCCAUCAUCACGACCUCGCAGUCCCCCAUGACGUGCCCCUCACCCGUCUCCAACUACUCCGGCUGGCACCCCUUCCCGCCUCCGCCGCCGCCCCCCGACCAAUACCCCUUGCACCACUACCAACACGAGUACAUCCCCCUGCCGAUCAUCCACUCGGAGUACCACCAUCCUCUCGUGGACGCCAACGAGCGGUGCAACCUCUUCGUGGACUACGACCACGCCCGCAUGGCCCAGGUCAAGGAGGAGGAGGCCUACCGGGAGCAACUGUCACCCCCCGCCCCACCGCCCCAGAGAAGCCCCUUCGUCAUCGAUUCCUGGCCCCAGCUCACCACUGCGCCCACGCACACCAACCUGUAGCGCUGCCAAAAAGUAUGACGAUAGGCAAAUGAUUCGGUAGUGCUGGUCACAUAUUGGAAAAGAAAGUCUCUUAGACAGAUUUUCUCUUGAAUGAAAAGGAGAUCCGCUUAAAUUAAGUGGCUUGGCUUUCGAUUCAGGCAAAAAUCUGAUUGAAUAGAGGGUACUUUUUCUUGUCAAUUUUUUUUAAAUUGGCAUGCUGAUUGUUGGUAUUAGUAGACAAAUAAGACAAAAAGGAUAUGAAGGGAUCCUAUCGGUGGAAGCGUGUGGUUGAAAUGGACAAAGAAGGUAGGUAUAGACUAUUAACGACAACCCGCGAGAGACCCUUUAGUUAGUCCAUCAUGUGUUCCCUUAGUCUAUAACAACCCAUUUCAACCAUUAGGAUCGCUUUAUGCUCCUGGUGUCUUCUUUGUCUAUCAAUUUCAACAAUCAGCCUGAUGACUCUUAAGAAAUUUGACGAGAAAAAGUAUCCUCGAUUCAAUCAGAUGUUUGCCUACAUUGAGAGCCAAGCCAUUUAAUUUAAGCGGAUCUCCUUUUGAUUCAAGCAAAAAUCUGUACUUUUUCUUGUCAAAGAGCCUCGCCAAGUUUAGCCCCUUUUUGUAUACCCGAGUUGAUCAACCGGACAGUGCUCAAAUGAAAGCCUAUAGUAAGGCAAACUUCCAUGCAAAGUUUCAACUUGAAGUGACCCCUCGUUUAGGCUGUACAGCGUUGCCAAUUUUCCAUUUUCAUGUGCUAAAAUCAAGGAAUUCUGGACUAUUAGUCCGGUGCAUAAGUAGACUAGGACACCCGUGUUGGUCAACUGGACACGGCUAAAAUGAAAGCUUAUGGUAAGGCAAACUUCCAUGCAAAGUUUCAACUUGAAGUGACCCCUCGUUUAGGCUGUACAGCGUUGCCAAUUUUCCAUUUUCAUGUGCUAAAAUCAAGGAAUUCUGGACUAUUAGUCCGGUGCAUAAGUAGACUAGGACACCCGUGUUGGUCAACUGGACACGGCUAAAAUGAAAGCUUAUGGUAAGGCAAACUUCCAUGCAAAGUUUCAACUUGAAGUGACCCCUCGUUUAGGCUGUACAGCGUUGCCAAUUUUCCAUUUUUAUGCGCUCUACUCAAGGAAUACUGGAUCAUCAUGGUUCAACAGGCUAGUACACCCGAGUUAGUCAACGGGACAAGCCUCAAACAAAAGCUUAUGGUAAGGCAAACUUCCAGAAAAAAAUUCAACUUGAAGUGACACCUCGUUUAGGCUGCACAGCGUUGCCAAUUUUCCAUUUUUAUGUGCAAAAAUUGAGGCAUUCUGAAUCAUCAUGGUUCAACAGACUAGUACACCCAAGUUGGUCAUCGAGACAAGACUCAAACGAAAGCUUAUGGUAAGGCAAACUUCCAGAAAAAAAUUCAACUUGAAGUGACACCUCGUUUAGGCUGUACAGCGUUGCCAAUUUUCCAUUUUAUGCGCUCUACUCAAGGAAUACUGGAUCAUCAUGGUUCAACAGGCUAGUACACCCGAGUUGGUCAACGGGACAAGCCUCAAACGAAAGCUUAUGGUAAGGCAAACUUCCAGAAAAAAAUUCAACUUGAAGUGACACCUCGUUUAGGCUGCACAGCGUUGCCAAUUUUCCAUUUUUAUGUGCAAAAAUCAAGGAAUUCGGUACUAAUAGUCCAGUGCAUUAUAAUUAAACAGACUAGUGCAUCGGGCUACGAGCUGAAUACUACCCUGAGAUCGAAUAGAAGCGCAACUAAAGGCCAUCGUGGACUUUUCGAAGCAGUGUUGCCAAUUUAUCAUUAAUUUUUUUAACAUAAAAUUAUGGUAUUUUCGAGAUUUUUGGCGGAAAACGUACCUUCAUGGGCAACACUGCUUCGAAAAGUUCACGAUGGCCUUUAGUUGCGCUUCUAUUCGAUCUCAGGGUAGUAUUCAGCUCGUAGACCGAUGCACUAGUCUGUUUAAUUAUGAUGCACUGGACUAUUAGUCCCGAAUUCCUUGAUUUUAGCACAUAAAAAUGGAAAAUUGGCAACGCUGUACAGCCUAAACGAGGAGUCACUUCAAGUUGAAUUUUUUUCUGGAAGUUUGCCUUACCAUAAGCUUUCGUUUGAGCCUUGCCUCGAUGACCAACUCGGGUGUACUAGCCUGUUGAACCAUGAUGAUCCAGUAUUCCUUGAAUAGAGCGCUUAAAAAUGGAAAAUUGGCAACGCUGUACAGCCUAAACGAGGUGUCACUUCAAGUUGAAUUUUUUUCUGGAAGUUUGCCUUACCAUUAGCUUUCGUUUGAGGCUUGUCCCGUUGACCAACUCGGGUAUACUAGUCUGUUGAACCAUGAUGAUCCAGUAUUCCUUGAGUAGAGCGCAUAAAAAUGGAAAAUUGGCAACGCUGUACAGCCUAAACGAGGUGUCACUUCAAGUUGAAUUUUUUUCUGGAAGUUUGCCUUACCAUAAGCUUUCGUUUGAGGCUUGUCCCGUUGACCAACUCGGGUAUACAAAAAGGGGCUAAAAAACACCACUUUUGGCGAGGCUCUUUGUUGAUAGUCUGGACUCUGGAUCCAACAGACUUUUUAUCAAGCGCAGAAUCGAGUUUUAAUGCUUGCAUUUUGAAGAUCAGCAAAAAAUAAUAAGAUCUGCAGGAGUGUAAGGUCCGAUUUACGUUUUUAGAGCCCUUGGGGUGGGAGUUUCCAGACCUUCUCUACCUUCCAGAUUAACAAUAAGAAGGUUUCAAAUCCGCCUAUAAAAAACAUGAUUUCAAAUAGUUUUGAGGUGUACGUGCGUCCUUUCGAGAAAAUAUAGAUGUUCGAAAAAAAGGAUUUGGAAAAUAAAAAGCGACGAAAACAUUGAAAUACAAUUUUUAAUACGCGGGUUUUUAACCAUUAGGAAGUCCAAAAUUUAAACCCUUUUGUAAUGUGCGGUAACUUCAAUACCUACAGUUAAUCAACAUGUUCCCAGUUCAUUGAUAAAACCAAACUUAUAAUCAUGAUCUUUCCUUUUGGAUGGGGGAAUCAUCCAUUUUUCUGUAGAUAUAAAACGUAUAGGAAUUAAACCAACCCAUUGAUUGAAAAGGGAUGCAGAUUAUUAUAUAAGACCAAUUAAAUAAAUACCGUAUACUUGAGCCCCAUAUAAUCCGUAUAAUCCCUGUGAAUUGUACAUAGAGAAGUCAUUAUAAUUAUUUAAUUCAGAAAUAUAAUAAUUUAUUUUGUAUAUUGUCAAUUUGUAAAUAAUGGGAUGCUCAUAAUACCAAUUUUGAGCACGAUUUCAAUCCGAAAUAUCAGAUAUCGUGUAAUUUCGAACGAUUGAAAGAAUAAUCUCUGUGACAUUGGAGUAAAUGUACUAAACAGUUGGUAUCCUCUGAUCUUCACUUCCGUCGAUGAAUAUUGUAUGGCGAACGGUUAGGUUUUUGUACAUUUUUGUUAUUAUUAAAAGUUGAAACAAAAUAAAACUGUAAGUAA